GACAGCCAGGAUGUUGGCUUAGAAGCAGCCAUCAUUUAAAGAAAGCGUAAUAGCUCACUGGUCGAGUCGGCCUGCGCGGAAGAUGUAACGGGGCUAAACCAUGCACCGAAGCUGCGGCAGCGACGCUGAUGCGUUGUUGGGUAGGGGAGCGUUCUGUAAGCCUGUGAAGGUGUGUCGUGAGGCAUGCUGGAGGUAUCAGAAGUGCGAAUGCUGACAUAAGUAACGAUAAAGCGGGUGAAAAGCCCGCUCGCCGGA
Molecule: ribosomal RNA, 255 nt
Filed under: Salmonella enterica subsp. enterica serovar Goldcoast
Lineage: Bacteria; Pseudomonadati; Pseudomonadota; Gammaproteobacteria; Enterobacterales; Enterobacteriaceae
Description: partial 23S ribosomal RNA
Rfam family: Bacterial large subunit ribosomal RNA
Source: RNAcentral